CAGUAGCCGCGGUAAUACGGAGGAUCCAAGCGUUAUCCGGAUUUAUUGGGUUUAAAGGGUGCGUAGGUGGCCUGUUAAGUCAGGGGUGAAAGACGGUAGCUCAACUAUCGCAGUGCCCUUGAUACUGAUGGGCUUGAAUGAACUAGAGGUAGGCGGAAUGUGACAAGUAGCGGUGAAAUGCAUAGAUAUGUCACAGAACACCAAUUGCGAAGGCAGCUUACUAUGGUUUGAUUGACACUGAGGCACGAAAGCGUGGGGAUCAAACAGGAUUAGAUACCCGGGUAGUCCCUGUCUCUUAUAC
This 301-nucleotide ribosomal RNA is filed under the name uncultured bacterium. RNAcentral describes it as "partial 16S ribosomal RNA". It matches the Rfam family "Bacterial small subunit ribosomal RNA", at positions 509 to 807 of the family's 1533-position model. The record is from RNAcentral.